This 256-nucleotide ribosomal RNA is filed under the name uncultured bacterium. Its description in RNAcentral is "partial 16S ribosomal RNA". It matches the Rfam family "Bacterial small subunit ribosomal RNA", at positions 521 to 776 of the family's 1533-position model. The record is from RNAcentral.
UAACACGUAGGGGGCAAGCGUUGUUCGGAAUUACUGGGCGUAAAGGGCAUGUAGGCGGUUUAGUAAGCUUGGCGUGAAAGACCACGGCUUAACUGUGGAGUUGCGUUGAGAACUGCUGAACUUGAGUUACGGAGAGGGAGCUAGAAUUCCUGGUGUAGGGGUGGAAUCUGUAGAGAUCAGGAAGAAUACCGAUGGCGAAGGCAAGCUUCUGGCCGAUAACUGACGCUGAGGUGCGAAAGUGUGGGGAUCAAACAGG